AAGUCUAAAAAUUAAAAGCUCGAAAAAAAAUCUAAAGAAUAGAGCUUCUAAUUAUGAUCUAGCUUCAUUAUAAACCCUAAGAGAUUGCUUAGCUAGGCAUAAUUUAAUUUGAAGCUCUAAAAUUUAAUUAAAAAAUAUAAAAUAAUAAUUAUUUUAAUUACAAAAAUUUAACAUGUAGGAAUUUAAAGGAUUGCAAGAAUUAAAUAAAAAAAAUAAAUGUAAGAAAAUUAAACUAUCCUAUUACUCAAAUUAAAAAAAUAUAUAAAUUAAAUUGAAGGGAAAGAAACUAAUUUAUUGCUAGAAUAAAAAUUGUAAUACGAUUAACUUUAACGUCUAAGCAAUCAACAGGGCUUGGAAUUAAAAAAAAUUAAAACAAAAGAAGAGAAAAACCUAAAUUAGAAUCUCUUCCUACAGCCUUCUUCUGUAAAGCUUUUUGAUUCUCGCACCUUAUCCGACUGACUCUUCUUCUCGUAUGUUGAAAGGAUGGAAGAAAUGGAAACAAAGUUAAAGAAUUAAAAAAAUAGAUAUUUUCGUCAAUUACACGGGCUCCUACAAGAGGCA
This 561-nucleotide long non-coding RNA is filed under the name Elaeis guineensis (African oil palm). RNAcentral describes it as "long non-coding RNA (EGUI_LNC055299)". The record is from RNAcentral. Lineage: Eukaryota; Viridiplantae; Streptophyta; Magnoliopsida; Arecales; Arecaceae.